AUGAACGCUGGCGGCGUGGAUAAGGCAUGCAAGUCAAACGGGUCCCGAAGUGUAGCAAUACAUUUUGGAGACCAGUGGCGAACGAGUUAGUAACACCUUGGUACAUACCCAAAAGACGGGGAUAACUAGUCGAAAGAUUAGCUAAUACCCGAUAGUCCCGUAAGGGUAAAGAUGCAAAUCACUUUUGGAGUGGCCUAGGUCCUAUCAGCUUGUUGGCGGGGUAACGGCCCACCAAGGCGACGACGGGUAGGGGGUGUGAGAGCAUGGCCCCCAACGAGGGAACUGAGACACGGUCCUUACAUCUACGGAUGGCCGCAGUCGAGAAUAUUCGACAAUGGACGAAAGUCUGAUCGAGCGACGCCGCGUGCAGGAAGAAGCCCCUAGGGGUGUAAACUGCUUUUGCGUAGGAAAAACUCUGAUUGUACUACGCGAAUAAGGGGUUGCUAACCUCGUGCCAGCAGCAGCGGUAAUACGAGGACCCCAAGCGUUAUCCGGAAUUACUGGGCGUAAAGCGCGAGCAGCCGGCUCUAUUAGUCUGAUGUUAAAUCCUCCGGCUUAACUGGAGGGCCGCAUUGGAAACGGUAGAGCUUGAGCAGCUAAGAGGCAGACGGAACGUGCAGUGUAGGGGUGAAAUCCAUUGAUAUUGCACGGAACACCAAAAGCGAAAGCAGUCUGCUAGUGGUUUGCUGACGGUCAAUCGCGAAAGCGUGGGGAUCAAAAAGGAUUAGAUACCCUUGUAGUCCACGCCCUAAACAAUGUUGACUAGCUAUUGGGAGCAUCGACCCUUCCAGUGGCGAAGCUAACGCGUUAAGUCAAUCGCCUGGGAAGUACGAGCGCAAGCUUAAAACUCAAAGGAAUAGGCGGGAAUUCGCACAAGCAGUGGAUCAUGUGGUUCAAUUCGACUCUAACCGAGGAACCUCACCAAGGUUUGAAAUCCAGGUGCAAGCCCUAGAAAUAGGGUCGCCUUCGAGGGUCCUGGACAGGUGCUGCACGGCUGUCGUCAGCUCGUCACGUGAGUGGUAUCCUUAAGUGGAUUAACGAGCGCAACCCCCGUUGUCUGUUAUAUUUGUCAGGCAAGACCGCUUCGGUAACGGAGAGGAAGGUGGGGAUGACGUCAAGUCAGCGUGGCCCUCUGAUACCUUGGGCUACACACAUGAUACAAUGGACGUUACAAUGGGCUGCCAACCCGCGAGGGGGAGCUAAUCCCAUCAAAAGCGUCCUCAGUUCAGAUUGGAGGCUGAAACUUGCCUCCAUGAAGCCGGAAUUGCUAGUAAUCGCUGAUCAGAAUGCAGCGGUGAAUACGUUCUCGAAUUUUGCACACACCGC
Molecule: ribosomal RNA, 1326 nt
Filed under: uncultured bacterium
Lineage: Bacteria
Description: bacterial SSU rRNA
Rfam family: Bacterial small subunit ribosomal RNA
Source: RNAcentral